This 119-nucleotide ribosomal RNA is filed under the name Pteropus alecto (black flying fox). The record is from RNAcentral. Lineage: Eukaryota; Metazoa; Chordata; Mammalia; Chiroptera; Pteropodidae.
GUUUACGGCCAUGCUACCCUGGACAAGCGGGAUCCCGUCUGAUCUUGGAAGCUAAGCAGGGUCGGGCCUGGUGAGUACUUGGAUGGAAGACCACCUAGGAAGAACAGGUGCAGUAGGCG